AUAUGAGAUUGAAAGAUUUGUGAUAAAAUCUAUAAAAACAAAAGAUCAUAGUUGUUCCGGAAUAAGUAGUUCAUAAGAUUGAUGAUGAGGAGUUUUGGACUUUGAACAAAUAUCACAUUAUUGUACAAAAUCUUUGACUGCCUUCCACAUUUGAUGCUACCAAAAAUCUCUAGAUAUUAGCUCCAAAGUCUUAUUGUAUUCAAAAUUUUUAGUUGUUGGAAAGUCAUGAUGAGCUUGAAAAACAUGUUAUUAU
RNAcentral lists this long non-coding RNA (253 nucleotides) under Physcomitrium patens. Its description in RNAcentral is "long non-coding RNA (PPAT_LNC006490)". The record is from RNAcentral. Lineage: Eukaryota; Viridiplantae; Streptophyta; Bryopsida; Funariales; Funariaceae.